GGUCCCUGCCUCAAGGGCACUCUCAUUGCUUUUUCUUUUCAUUCUCAUUGCUUUUUUUUCUUAACCGGACCAACAAGGCCUAGCCAGAUGUGGCUCAUCUACUCUCUCCAGGCUCAUUCAAGGCUUUCUUCUCAGCUGUCCACACUCAACCACACCCCACCGCGGCCUUUCUCUCCUCAUUGCAUUUGGCUGUGCUCUUUCCUCCGCUGGACCCUCAGCUCUGCCCCCAAAGCUUCACCUGCCUAACUCCUACUGAGCCUUCAGCCUCAGCAUGGACCCUACCUCCUUGCAGAGGCCUUCCCUGAGCCUCCAGACUAGGCCAGGUCCCCUCCCUGGAGAUUUCUGAUUUCGGCCAGGAGUAGCAUUUCCAACAAGCCCCCAAGUGAUUUUUUAAAAAGUAGAAGUUUGGAAGACUCUGCACACUGCUGCCCGGGGCUCUCACAGCGCUCUUCAUUCUCCCGUCUCACUGGGCACACCUGGAACUGAUUAGUUACCUCCCUAAUGGCUGGGUCCACAUCUGUCUCAUCCAAGCCCAGUGGAGGUGGGCAAGAGGCUCAGCUUGGUUCUGGAGGAGGCAGAGGCUACAGGACAUCCAGGUUCCACUGAGAACAAUCAGGAUGCUGGGGAGAGUCAGAGAUCCAGAACUAGGAGAGAUCUUCCAAAGCUCCUGCAGAAAACCAGGAUCUCUGGGCUCCUUCAGCCAACAAACAUUUCCUGGGCACCCAGCAGGGAUACAGCCAUGAUUGAGGCAGACCCCAUCCCUGCCCUCCUAGAGCCUACAAUUCAGCACGUGGCUUGCUGGGAGGAUACACGUCCACCCAUUGUUUCUAUUUCCAACCCUUUGCAGACUUCUCUGAUAAGUCUGCCUGAGCACAGUGGUCCUGACACAGCUGCAUGAUGAGUGGCACCGCUUUGUGAGGCUGUUGGACUAGCGAGGCUUUCCCUGAGUGUGGGUAAGCGAGGACUAGCAG
RNAcentral lists this long non-coding RNA (971 nucleotides) under Equus asinus (donkey). RNAcentral describes it as "lncRNA (ENSEASG00005036786.1)". Lineage: Eukaryota; Metazoa; Chordata; Mammalia; Perissodactyla; Equidae. The record is from RNAcentral.